This is a non-coding RNA of Bacidia gigantensis, 130 nucleotides long. The record is from the annotation of a RefSeq genome assembly. Lineage: Eukaryota; Fungi; Ascomycota; Lecanoromycetes; Lecanorales; Ramalinaceae.
GCAAGUAUGGCCGAGGGGUCUAAGGCGGUAGAUUUAAGCUCUACUAUCGAAAGAUGGUAAUUAUUUAUCUCCACUUGGACGUGUGACAUACUAAUGAGGGCUAGCGAGAGUUCGAAUCUCUCUGCUUGCA